GUGCCAGCAGCCGCGGUAAUACGUAGGUGGCAAGCGUUAUCCGGAAUUAUUGGGCGUAAAGCGCGCGCAGGUGGUUUCUUAAGUCUGAUGUGAAAGCCCCACGGCUCAACCGUGGAGGGUCAUUGGAAACUGGGAGACUUGAGUGCAGAAGAGGAAAGUGGAAUUCCAUGUGUAGCGGCGAAAUGCGUAGAGAUAUGGAGGAACACCAGUGGCGAAGGCGACUUUCUGGUCUGUAACUGACACUGAGGCGCGAAAGCGUGGGGGAGCAAACAGGAUUAGAUACCCUGGUAGUCC
Molecule: ribosomal RNA, 294 nt
Filed under: uncultured microorganism
Description: partial 16S ribosomal RNA
Rfam family: Bacterial small subunit ribosomal RNA
Source: RNAcentral